UGGGGAAUAUUGGGCAAUGGGCGAAAGCCUGACCCAGCGACGCCGCGUGAGGGAAGAAGGUCUUCGGAUUGUAAACCUUUGUCAACAGGGACGAAGCAAUGACGGUACCUGUGAAGGAAGCCACGGCUAACUACGUGCCAGCAGCCGCGGUAAUACGUAGGUGGCGAGCGUUAUCCGGAUUUACUGGGUGUAAAGGGUGAGUAGGCGGGAAGGCAAGUCAGAUGUGAAAUGCAAUGGCUCAACCAUUGAAUUGCAUUUGAAACUGUUUUUCUUGAGAGUCGGAGAGGUAAUCGGAAUUCCUAGUGUAGCGGUGAAAUGCGUAGAGAUUAGGAGGAACACCAGUGGCGAAGGCGGAUUACUGGACGACAACUGACGCUGAGACACGAAAGCGUGGGGAGCAAACAGG
This 406-nucleotide ribosomal RNA is filed under the name uncultured bacterium. Its description in RNAcentral is "bacterial SSU rRNA". It matches the Rfam family "Bacterial small subunit ribosomal RNA", at positions 355 to 776 of the family's 1533-position model. The record is from RNAcentral. RNAcentral also lists the same sequence under 1 other name.